Molecule: long non-coding RNA, 1764 nt
Organism: Salmo trutta (river trout)
Lineage: Eukaryota; Metazoa; Chordata; Actinopteri; Salmoniformes; Salmonidae
Source: Ensembl
AUUUAGUACUGGUAGGAGAAGGACGACGAAAUGAUGGCGACCGCCGCAGAAGAAAUAUUUCAAAGCCCAUGUCCCAUUUCUGAGCGCCAUGUCACGACUAUGUCCAUCAAAAUUACGCGGAAAAACCAGGAUAAACCCUGGAAAUUGAGAUUAAUUUACCUGCAGUGCUAUUUUAUGUCAAUUGCAACCAUACUGGGAACUGGAAUCUUAGGACUUCCUGUCACAAUAGCACAUGCAGGACUCAUGCCUUUCCUGGUCUCCUUUAUAAUUGGUUUCUUUGUGCAGGCUCUCCUCAUAUACCUCUUUGUUGACCUGCUCCAGCGAUGCCAAGUUGUCCAGAUUGAGUCAUUGAAGACUACUGAGACAGAGCGAAUUCUAAUGCAAGACGUUGGAUUGGAGGAGCCUGCUCUCACUAAUACAGAGGAGGAAGAAGAGGAGGUGGAGGAUGGGGAAGAAGCAGACACGGGCCUCCUGCAGCAGGACACGGCCAGACAGACACUGGAGGAGAAGCUACAGCCUAAUCUCCAUGUGUUGGGGCUUCUCUUCCUCAGCAAGCCUAUGAGCCAUGCCUUCAACUUCAUCCUACUCUUCCAGUUUGUGUCUAUUGGGAUCAGCUAUGUCCUAGCUGGCAGUGAGGCCUACGCCGCUCUUCUACAUGUGAGCCAUAUCUAUGUCAUUCCUGGGUUUACCUGGACACUAUCUCUUGGAAUCCUGCUGGCUCAAAUGGUCAUUCAGCCAAUCACGUCGCUACUGACCCUCCUGAAAGGCAUCAUGCUGAUCAUCACAGUGGCCGUGACAUUUGCUUUGGGGUCAGAAGUUCAACAGGAGACCACAAAUGACUUUAGCCAAAUUGGUAAACCUUUCCUAAUGGGCACCGUUGCACUGGGAGGUAUUGUCAACGUGAUGCCUCUCCUGUUCUCAGAAAUAUCUCACAACAAGACACAGAUCAUGUGGUUCAGAAGAGUCAUACUGGGAGGACUAGCCACAUGCACCGUUCUGAAUAUAUUAUGGUGCUGGGCUGUUUUGGAGAUCGUCCCCCAGAUGUCAGUUCAGAGGGUUAUGGAGGAAGGUGUGGUGAACACUACCAGUAGUGUCGUCUCUGAGUCCUCUCCAACAGCCUACACCAUGGUCUACUCCAACAUCUCCCUGGAGGAGUCAGAGAAAGCAGGAGAGAUUGCAACAAUCCCACUGACAAAGAUAAUCAGUCUGAAGUACCGUCACUACUCGUGGGUGGCAGAGCUGAUACAGAUUUUUAUUGCCAUCAGUAUAACAGUGUCCUUUCUGGUGAUGGGAUCUGCCAUGAAGCACACAAUUGAUGGCCUUGUGAACUCACACUGGAACACCAAGUUGGAAUGGAUGUCUAAAGUCUGGGAGAGGACAUUACCACAGAGCUUCCACAGAUGCAGUUCAAGAGGUCUUGCCAAUGGGCUCAUAUCUCUGCUUGCAUUUGGAAUCAUUUUUAUUGUCUCGUCGUGUGAUCCAAGGGGAUUUGUGGUGAUGUUGGACAAAGUGGUGUCUUUCUCUUUGAACACUGAAGUUGGGUUGUUCAUCUUUGUGAUGCUGCGAGCCUCCAGAUCAGAGCGAUUUCAACACCUGACUGUGCCUCUGCCCGUGGGUCAGCGGGUCUUCCAACUCCACUGGAGCCUGCCUAUUUACUUCCUGUUUGCUGUGGCCUACGAUGUUAUCCAGAGCAUCGUAGAGAUAGCAGAGCACAAUUUACAGCACUCCUCCCAACCUCUCCUCACCAACUAUUCUCUGAGCUGA